UGGGGAAUAUUGGACAAUGGGGGGAACCCUGAUCCAGCCAUGCCGCGUGUGUGAAGAAGGCCUUAUGGUUGUAAAGCACUUUAAGCGAGGAGGAGGCUCUCUUGGUUAAUACCCAAGAAGAGUGGACGUUACUCGCAGAAUAAGCACCGGCUAACUCUGUGCCAGCAGCCGCGGUAAUACAGAGGGUGCGAGCGUUAAUCGGAUUUACUGGGCGUAAAGCGUGCGUAGGCGGCUUUUUAAGUCGGAUGUGAAAUCCCCGAGCUUAACUUGGGAAUUGCAUUCGAUACUGGGAAGCUAGAGUAUGGGAGAGGAUGGUAGAAUUCCAGGUGUAGCGGAGAAAUGCGUAGAGAUCUGGAGGAAUACCGAUGGCGAAGGCAGCCAUCUGGCCUAAUACUGACGCUGAGGUACGAAAGCAUGGGGAGCAAACAGG
This 430-nucleotide ribosomal RNA is filed under the name bacterium. Its description in RNAcentral is "partial 16S ribosomal RNA". It matches the Rfam family "Bacterial small subunit ribosomal RNA", at positions 355 to 776 of the family's 1533-position model. The record is from RNAcentral.